RNAcentral lists this ribosomal RNA (484 nucleotides) under uncultured bacterium. Its description in RNAcentral is "partial 16S ribosomal RNA". It matches the Rfam family "Bacterial small subunit ribosomal RNA", at positions 30 to 507 of the family's 1533-position model. The record is from RNAcentral.
AUUGAACGCUGGCGGCAGGCCUAACACAUGCAAGUCGAGCGGAUGAAGGGAGCUUGCUCCUGGAUUCAGCGGCGGUCGGGUGAGUAAUGCCUAGGAAUCUGCCUGGUAGUGGGGGAUAACGUCCGGAAACGGGCGCUAAUACCGCAUACGUCCUGAGGGAGAAAGUGGGGGAUCUUCGGACCUCACGCUAUCAGAUGAGCCUAGGUCGGAUUAGCUAGUUGGUGGGGUAAAGGCCUACCAAGGCGACGAUCCGUAACUGGUCUGAGAGGAUGAUCAGUCACACUGGAACUGAGACACGGUCCAGACUCCUACGGGAGGCAGCAGUGGGGAAUAUUGGACAAUGGGCGAAAGCCUGAUCCAGCCAUGCCGCGUGUGUGAAGAAGGUCUUCGGAUUGUAAAGCACUUUAAGUUGGGAGGAAGGGCAGUAAGUUAAUACCUUGCUGUUUUGACGUUACCAACAGAGUAAGCACCGGCUAACUUCGUG